This 403-nucleotide ribosomal RNA is filed under the name uncultured bacterium. RNAcentral's name for it is "bacterial SSU rRNA". It matches the Rfam family "Bacterial small subunit ribosomal RNA", at positions 356 to 773 of the family's 1533-position model. The record is from RNAcentral.
GGGGAAUAUUGCGCAAUGGGGGGAACCCUGACGCAGCAACGCCGCGUGAAGGAAGAAGGCCUUCGGGUUGUAAACUUCUUUGAUUGGGGACGAAGUAAGUGACGGUACCCAAGGAACAAGCCACGGCUAACUACGUGCCAGCAGCCGCGGUAAUACGUAGGUGGCGAGCGUUGUCCGGAAUUACUGGGUGUAAAGGGCGCGUAGGCGGGGGAGUAAGUCAGAUGUGAAAGCCCAUGGCUCAACUGUGGGACUGCACCUGAAACUACUUUUCUUGAGUGCUGGAGAGGAAAGCGGAAUUCCUAGUGUAGCGGUGAAAUGCGUAGAUAUUAGGAGGAACACCAGUGGCGAAGGCGGCUUUCUGGACAGUAACUGACGCUGAGGCGCGAAAGCGUGGGUAGCAAAC